This is a long non-coding RNA of Acanthochromis polyacanthus (spiny chromis), 1645 nucleotides long. RefSeq lists it as uncharacterized. Lineage: Eukaryota; Metazoa; Chordata; Actinopteri; Pomacentridae. The record is from RefSeq and is a predicted model, not a curated record. The transcript has 2 exons.
UGUAGGGCCGUAUUCAUGCGGGGAGUAUUCGUGCAGCAUCCGGCUGCAGACAUACCCUUCUCGAGAAAUCCCCGCCUUGCGAGUAGCUGUCCAAUCACUGGCCUCCCACAUCCCCCACCCGCCUGUGUGUGAAAUCUGAGCUGCAGAGGAGCAGGAGGCAGAGCCCACAGACAGAACAAAAAUCAACCGUUUCAGAAAGCCAUGGCGAGUGGAGGAGUGGAGAAGAACAAGAGGGAAAAGUUUGUCGAGGGACCAGCCUCACUCAAGUCUGCAGUUUGGGAACACUUUGGCUUCCCUGUUGACUAUGGUGAUGGGGGAGAGAAAAAAGUGGACCGAACGAAGACCAUUUGUAAGCGCUGCUAACACGGGUAGCAUACGCACAUGGAAACACUUCCAAUAUGACCACACAUUUACAGCGUCACCACCCAGACGCAGCCCUCGUUUGGAGCCGGCCAUCCAUGCAGGAUCCACAUUUCCGCCACCUCUGACCCUGCUGUCCUCACCAACUGCAACCCACACUGGACCUAUAAAGACUGGUGGGAGGGUGUUUGUGCUGACCACAAGCGCUGGCCAGCUUCCAUGAAAAGACGACAGGCGACCUCCUUCAAUAAACACCGUGGCAAAAAGGACAUGCUGAAGCUGGUGGACCAGGAGUAUGGUGCUCUAGUUCACAACAGCUGUAAAGACCCGAACAGCACGCUCCAUCCCCACCACUAAGCUGCACAUAACACAAUAUAUUAAACACCUGAGCAGCUGCAGAACACCAGCUCCUCUUUGAACACCAGCCCAGAGAAGGUGGAAGAAAGGCCAGCAGCUUUGGCAAUCUCUGACAGAGGCAGUGAGACGACCAGCGUGCCAGUCGUUGCCAUGCCGGUUGCUGUUUUUAACCCCCCUACACCUGUUCAGGACACCCUAACGCAGGACUCAAUAGAGGAAAAUCGUUAAAAGUAUCUUGACCAAGCAGCAGCAGCAACCACCACAGCAACAGCCGGGGAAAGAACCCAGAUGAAGAAGUGCCUGUCCUGUGGCCAGCCUAAGUCCAGAUAUGAAAAUGACGGUUCUUCCGUCCAUUUCUUCUAUCAACAGGGCCCGGUCAGGUACUUCUACUGUUCAACUAAGGUUUUUAAAACAUAUGGUGCUGAAGGUCUGACGGAUGCAAAUGGACUUCGAAGACUUUGCACAGACAGAAUUCUUUCAGCAUGAACUGGAGGCAACAAAACAAAGGGUGGAGGAGAGAGUACAGCAAAAAGAAAAAGGACUGACUCCCAGCCGACAGGGACACGCAAAUGCCGGUUCUGCAGACUGGAGCUAAAGCAGGGCCUGGACAGUCCUCACAUCCACACUGGCUUCCCUGGAGUAGCAGGGAAGUACAUCUACUGCCCAGCAAAAGUCUUUUCUUUCUAUAAAGAUAAGGGUAUGGACAAGGAGAUGACCUGGAGAGAGUUCCAGGAGUCUCCUUUCUUUGAAGUGGAAAGGCAGAGGUGGGAGGCUGAAAAACGAAAAUGAGUGAGAGGGUGGGCUGGUGGCUUAGCAUGUGUGUCUGUAUAUAUGUAUAUGUAAUUUUUGCUCUUUGUUCAAUUUGAUUUGUUUGUGAAACAGUUGAACUGUUGUUCUGUGUGAAUAAAGAACACAUUUCAUUCAGUUA